UACGGAGGGGGCUAGCGUUGUUCGGAAUUACUGGGCGUAAAGCGCACGUAGGCGGCUUUGCAAGUUAGAGGUGAAAGCCCGGGGCUCAACUCCGGAAUUGCCUUUAAAACUGCAUCGCUAGAAUUGUGGAGAGGUAAGUGGAAUUCCGAGUGUAGAGGUGAAAUUCGUAGAUAUUGGGAAGAACACCAGUGGCGAAGGCGGCUAACUGGUCCAGCACUGACGCUGAGGUGCGAAAGCGUGGGGAGCAAACAGG
RNAcentral lists this ribosomal RNA (253 nucleotides) under uncultured bacterium. RNAcentral's name for it is "partial 16S ribosomal RNA". It matches the Rfam family "Bacterial small subunit ribosomal RNA", at positions 524 to 776 of the family's 1533-position model. The record is from RNAcentral.